CCCUAAUUGGUCUUGGGUGUAACCAAUCAAGCAUACAUUGAUACAAUCUCCUAUUUGCAGAGGGCAUAACCAAUCAGGCCCCAGGAAUCUGCUCAAGGGAGGGAAUAAGAGAUAUAAAAAAGGGAAGCCAAAAUAGGAUAGGGCCACUCCUGCAGGGGGUGAUCUGCUCUCAUGCCUCGGGAGUGUAUUGCUUGCUGCAUGCCCAGUAAAUCUUGCCUACUUGAGCUAUAACUGGUCUUUCAUUUCAGUUCUUUGCUACCAUGAGACAACAACCAAGGGAGAAGAACCAACCUGACAACUCUAAGGAGUUGUCAUUUUAUCCUGAGAGCAUAGGAAGUAUAUGAAGAACUUUUUACACAGGAGGAAGAAUGAUCAGAUCAGCAUUUUAGAAAGCUCCUUCUUGUUGCCAUUUGGAGAGUGCAUUAGUCUGAAGAGAUGGGCUUGGAUAUAAGAAGUCCUGUUACACUGAGUCAUUAUACCAUUGAGGGAAAGUUCAAACCCCUGAGGGAAGGGAUGUGAUUGCCUCAGCCGAGCACUGGCACAUCUGUUUAGGAAGAACCUUUCGUGCAGGCCCUUCUCAUCUGCUGGCAAGCUGGAGAUGGGCCACCUGGAACGGGCGGACCGUUCUUAGUUCAGCCAGGACAGGACGGAGCUGCUGAUCCACAACGUGCUGUCCAGGCAACUUCCCUGACUGAGAAACCGGUGAAGAGAUUGAGGCCUCAUAUCUGGUUCAUUUGGAGCAGACCCUUCAUAUUGUGGGAUCUUAGAGCAUAAAGGCAAAGAAAAUCAUAAAAAAAGUUCCCACCAGGUUUUGAAGAACCUCAAUUUCAUCAUCCACAAGAUGGUAAUCAUACCAAUCCUAUCCUUCAUCACCUGACUGCUGUGAGAAUUGAAUGGGAAAAGUGAAGGUAUGGAAGCAACCUAAAGAUCCAUUAACAGAUGAAUGGAUGAAGAAGAUAUUUUAAAUGGAUGCAAUGAAACAUACUCAGUCAGAAAAAAAAGAAUAAAAGUUACCAAUUGCAACAAUCUGGAUGAACCUGGAGGAGAUCAAGCCCUGAGCCUUUGGAGUGGGAGCACUGACUCCAAGACCAUAGAAUAACAGAGAACUGACCCUGCUGCUGCUGCUGCUGCUAAGUUGCUUCAGUCGUGUCC
Long non-coding RNA from Bos taurus (domestic cattle), 1152 nucleotides. NCBI's taxonomy places the organism in Eukaryota, Metazoa, Chordata, Mammalia, Artiodactyla, Bovidae. The record is from Ensembl.